UCUUCCACAAUGGACGCAAGUCUGAUGGAGCAACGCCGCGUGAGUGAAGAAGGUUUUCGGAUCGUAAAGCUCUGUUGUUGGUGAAGAAGGAUAGAGGCAGUAACUGGUCUUUAUUUGACGGUAAUCAACCAGAAAGUCACGGCUAACUACGUGCCAGCAGCCGCGGUAAUACGUAGGUGGCAAGCGUUGUCCGGAUUUAUUGGGCGUAAAGCGAGCGCAGGCGGAAUGAUAAGUCUGAUGUAAAGCCCACGGCUCAACCGUGAACUGCAUCGAAACUGUCAUUCUUAGUGCAGAGAGAGAGUGAAUUCCAUGUGAGCGGUGAAUGCGAGUAAUGAAGACACCAGUGGCGAGCGCUCUCUGGCUGAACUGCGUGGCUAAAUAUAUUG
This 386-nucleotide ribosomal RNA is filed under the name uncultured bacterium. RNAcentral describes it as "bacterial SSU rRNA". It matches the Rfam family "Bacterial small subunit ribosomal RNA", at positions 362 to 754 of the family's 1533-position model. The record is from RNAcentral.